CCUACGGGAGGCAGCAGUGGGGGAUAUUGCACAAUGGGGGAAACCCUGAUGCAGCGACGCCGCGUGGGUGAAGAAGCGCCUCGGCGCGUAAAGCUCUGUCAGCAGGGAAGAAAAUGACGGCACCUGAAGAUGAAGCCCCGGCCAACUACGUGCCAGCAGCCGCGGGAAUACGUAGGGGGCAAGCGUUAUCCGGAUUUACUGGGGGUUAAGGGGGGGCAGGCGGCGAUGCAAGCCAGGAGGGAAAGUCCGGGGGCGAACCCCGGGACUGCUCUUGGAACUGCGUGGCUUGAGAGCAGGAGGGGCAGGCGGAAUGCGUGGUGUAGCGGUGAAAUGCGUAGAUAUCGGGAAGAACACCGAUGGCGAAGGCAGCCUGCUGGAGGGGAACUGACGUUGAGGCCCGAAAGCGUGGGGAGCGAACAGGAUUAGAUACCCUGGUAGUC
RNAcentral lists this ribosomal RNA (440 nucleotides) under uncultured bacterium. RNAcentral's name for it is "partial 16S ribosomal RNA". It matches the Rfam family "Bacterial small subunit ribosomal RNA", at positions 338 to 795 of the family's 1533-position model. The record is from RNAcentral.